This is a non-coding RNA of Meriones unguiculatus (Mongolian gerbil), 423 nucleotides long. The record is from the annotation of a RefSeq genome assembly. Lineage: Eukaryota; Metazoa; Chordata; Mammalia; Rodentia; Muridae.
AUGUGUGAUGUCUCUGAAGAGUUUUGGGUUCAGGUCAUCAACCUGAAAUGGAGCUGGGUCAUCCUCUUCCUUGUUGCAGCAGCUACAGGUGUCCACUCCCAGGUCCAGCUGCAGCAGUCUGGGUCUGAGGUGGGGAGAUCCGGGGUCUCAGUGAAGCUGUCCUGCAAGGCUUCUGGAUGCACCUUUACCGGCUACUAUAUGAACUGGAUGAAGCAGAGGCCUGGACAGGGGCUGGAGUGGAUUGGGUGGAUUGGUCGUGGAAGUGGCAGCCCUAGCUAUGUCCAGAAGUUCCAGGGCAAGGCCACACUGACUGCAGACACAUCCUCCAGCACAGCCUACAUGGAGCUCCGCAGCCUGAUACCUGAGGACUCUGUGGUCUAUUACUCUAGGGAGAUUUCAAAACCCCACUUUCACCAAGGGACA